UGCUGCUGUAAUGUAUAGCAUGGCAACUAUGAUGGCAAUAAUACUCUACUGCAUCUUUGAACAUCGUUAACAAAGCAAAGUUUAAAAGUUCUUACCACAAGCAAAAAAAUACUGUAAUAUGUGUGGUGAUGGAUGUUAACUAGACUUAUUUUGGCAACCCUUCCACAAUAUAUACAAAUAUCAAAUAAUUAAGUUCUGCACUUGAAACUAAUGUUGUAUGUCAAUUAUACCUCAAUUUUAAAGUGUCCAUUAAUAAAUAUAUCAUUCUGUUCACUCUGACCUAAGGCCCUCAUAGGGUGAAAAGACCAGUAGCGUUUCUUCAUAAUGGGGAGGUUUUCUAAUAACACAGGAUCACAUAGCUCUAUAUAAAAAUAUUUAAAAACUAACCUCAAGGGACAUUUUGGUAUAAAUACUAUUUAUACUAUGCAAAUACUUUUAAAAAGUACUGCAGUUUCUGAGAAGUUGAUCAUAAGACAGAUUAGGGAGGAAGAAAAAAAAUCCAGACCAGCAAUUUACAAAUCAGCUCCUCUAGGACAGAAGAUGUACUUAACAAACAAACUUUUUUCAAGACACAGAGACCCAGAUCAGACUUCUUCCAUGGCUGCGCUUGCUGGUCUCCACACAAUGAGAAAUAGAUACUUAAGGUUGCUGCCAUGAUUUGGUUCUUCAUCUGAGGUGAUCUUCACUGGCCCCUUGGAGAGUUGUGAUG
This 709-nucleotide long non-coding RNA is filed under the name Sus scrofa (pig). Its description in RNAcentral is "lncRNA (ENSSSCG00060019263.1)". The record is from RNAcentral. Lineage: Eukaryota; Metazoa; Chordata; Mammalia; Artiodactyla; Suidae.